RNAcentral lists this transfer RNA (69 nucleotides) under Nephotettix virescens. RNAcentral's name for it is "tRNA-Gln". The record is from RNAcentral. Lineage: Eukaryota; Metazoa; Arthropoda; Insecta; Hemiptera; Cicadellidae.
UGUUUUUUAGUGUAAGAUGCACAUGAAUUUUUGAUUUUCAAAGUUUAAGUUUAAUUCUUAAUAAAACAA